Molecule: ribosomal RNA, 429 nt
Filed under: Acidobacteriota bacterium
Lineage: Bacteria; Pseudomonadati; Acidobacteriota
Description: Acidobacteria bacterium partial 16S ribosomal RNA
Rfam family: Bacterial small subunit ribosomal RNA
Source: RNAcentral
UGGGGAAUUUUGGACAAUGGGGGAAACCCUGAUCCAGCCAUCCCGCGUGUGCGAUGAAGGCCUUCGGGUUGUAAAGCACUUUUGGCAGGAAAGAAACGUCAUGGGUUAAUACCCCGUGAAACUGACGGUACCUGCAGAAUAAGCACCGGCUAACUACGUGCCAGCAGCCGCGGUAAUACGUAGGGUGCAAGCGUUAAUCGGAAUUACUGGGCGUAAAGCGUGCGCAGGCGGUUCGGAAAGAAAGAUGUGAAAUCCCAGAGCUCAACUGUGGAACUGCAUUUUUAACUACCGGGCUAGAGUGUGUCAGAGGGAGGUGGAAUUCCGCGUGUAGCAGUGAAAUGCGUAGAUAUGCGGAGGAACACCGAUGGCGAAGGCAGACUCCUGGGAUAACACUGACGCUCAUGCACGAAAGCGUGGGGAGCAAACAGG